UACGGAGGAUGCGAGCGUUAUCCGGAUUUAUUGGGUUUAAAGGGUGCGUAGGCGGGAUGAUAAGUUAGAGGUGAAAUGUCGGGGCUCAACCCCGAAACUGCCUCUAAUACUGUUGGACUAGAGAAUAGUUGCGGUAGGCGGAAUGUAUGGUGUAGCGGUGAAAUGCUUAGAGAUCAUACAGAACACCGAUUGCGAAGGCAGCUUACCAAACUAUAUCUGACGUUGAGGCACGAAAGCGUGGGUAGCAAACAGG
Molecule: ribosomal RNA, 253 nt
Filed under: uncultured bacterium
Lineage: Bacteria
Description: partial 16S ribosomal RNA
Rfam family: Bacterial small subunit ribosomal RNA
Source: RNAcentral